RNAcentral lists this unclassified non-coding RNA (578 nucleotides) under Hevea brasiliensis (rubber tree). The record is from RNAcentral. Lineage: Eukaryota; Viridiplantae; Streptophyta; Magnoliopsida; Malpighiales; Euphorbiaceae.
CUUUGAUGCAGCAAUGGAUAGUAGAAGGCAUAAGGGCACUGUAGCAGUCAUAGCCAGAGACCACCUGGGUAAGCCAUGUGGUUAGGCAUGUAAAGCCAUUCCAGUAAUGUCGGAUGCCUUGACUCUCGAAAGUUUGGCAUGUAGAGAGGCCAUUCUCUUGGCAAGAGCUAGAGGUUGGGAUCACAUUGUAAUAGAAGGAGACUGCCAAGUGGUUAUUAGGGCCCUACAAGGAGAGAAUGCACCAAUAGACAUUUAGAAUAUCAUUCAUGAUAUUUCAACUCUAUCUUCCUCCCUGUCAGAUGUAUCCUUUUCUUUUGUUCACAGACAGGGUAAUCGAGCAGCACAUAGUUUAGCUUCUAAAGCUCUUCGAGAUGCAUCUUUUGCUUGUAAUUCCUUUUUUCAAAUCCUGUUUGUAUCUUCCCUUCUUUAGACCUUACUCGAAUCCUUCAAAUUGCGACAGUAAAUUUCAAUGAUAGAUUCAAAUUUGGUGGUUAGGAUUUUGAAGAAUUCCACUGAAAAUUUAAGAAGGUUGGUGAAAAGAGAUUGUGCAAGGCUAAAUGCGUAGAGGUGUGAACUAG